This 328-nucleotide ribosomal RNA is filed under the name Enyalius capetinga. RNAcentral's name for it is "partial large subunit ribosomal RNA". It matches the Rfam family "Bacterial large subunit ribosomal RNA", at positions 1837 to 2330 of the family's 2925-position model. The record is from RNAcentral. Lineage: Eukaryota; Metazoa; Chordata; Lepidosauria; Squamata; Leiosauridae.
CUCCAAGUAUUAAAGGUAACGCCUGCCCAGUGAUAAUUUCAACGGCCGCGGUAUCCUAACCGUGCAAAGGUAGCGUAAUCACUUGUCCACUAAAUAUGGACCAGUAUGAACGGCUAAAUGAGGACCAACCUGUCUCCUUUGUCCAAUCAGUGAAACUGAUCUUUCAGUUCAAAAGCUGAAAUACCCACAUAAGACGAGAAGACCCUGUGGAGCNUUUAAAUUUAUANUUAAUAGCACCACAAANAUGCUUCANUAAUUAAAAAUUUUAAGUUGGGGCAACUNNUCGAAACAAAACCAAACUUUCGAGAACAAAGACACCUUACNCCAU